This is a long non-coding RNA of Mandrillus leucophaeus (drill), 1127 nucleotides long. RefSeq lists it as uncharacterized. NCBI's taxonomy places the organism in Eukaryota, Metazoa, Chordata, Mammalia, Primates, Cercopithecidae. The record is from RefSeq and is a predicted model, not a curated record. The transcript is spliced from 3 exons.
AUGCUGUGAGUCCGAAGGAAUCAUCCCGUUCCCAGCAGACAAGCCUGGAGCCAGCCUGCUCUUCUGGCCAAAGCAUUCCACCCCCUGGACCUCUUCUCCAGGCACUUUCUGCCCAGAUAGGCAGUGGAAGAAGAGAUGUGGAUUCUGACCCUUGGCUCCCCAAAGUUCCACAGAGCCCAGCUCCCACUGAAGGCAUAGGACCCAGACCCUAAGAACCAGAUACACUGGCCUAAGCUUUCGUCAGAAGCAGGGACACACAGAACCUGUCUUAAAGCCAUCAUUAGAGGACUGGACAUGAUGGCCAGAGGCCUCAUGGACAGAAGUCCCAGGGCCAUGUCCAGGAACUGGGCUCAGGGGAUCUCCUGGUGCCACCUGCAAAUCUGAGCCCAUGGAGUUCCUUUGGUUUAUUCAAUUCUUUCAUUUUAACUUAAUUUUGUUUUUGUUGGCUUUCUUAAAAAAUUGCCCUGUUUGUUAACGUGAUCACAUUUAUUAUGCAGAGUUGAGUGUGGUUCUCUCAUAAGUAUUUAGUCUCCACUGGGUCUGUGGUUAUAUAUCCUUUCUUAUUGCUAAUGCUGUUUGUGUUUGAUUUUCUUCUUUAUUUCUUGGCCUGACUUACAGAGGUUUGUCUGUUUUAUCUUUAUUUUAAAAAUAACCAACUGCUUAUUUUUACUUCUCCACUGUGAUUUCCCCCUUUAUUUCUUUAAUGUUUAAGUUUAUAUUUUUUCCUAUUUAUUUUGGCUUAAAUUUUAUUAUUAUUUUGCUAUAUCCUUGGGUCAAGUGCUUAAUUCAAUUAUUUUGUUAUUUUGACUUCUAAAAAAUCAGUUAAUUCUAUAAGUUUUCCUCCAUGUACCACAUUGAGCAAACUCCACAGGUUUCUGUAGGGGGUAUACGAAUUGUAAUUCAAUUUCAAUUUUGUUUUCCAUGUGUAGGUCCAGAUUUAUUUGAAUGUCCAAAUGCUUAGAGUUGUUGGCUCUUAUUUUGUUAUUAAAGUCUGGUUUUAUUAUACUGUGGUUAGAGAAAAUAAUAUGAAGGAUUUUAAUUUUAGGUAAAGCAUUAAUAUCUUUUUUAGCCUCAAACAUGAUCAAUUUUUGACAGUGUUCCAAAGAUAUACAAUUAAAUAUAUAUUA